RNAcentral lists this long non-coding RNA (3434 nucleotides) under Triticum aestivum (bread wheat). Its description in RNAcentral is "long non-coding RNA (TAES_LNC010468)". Lineage: Eukaryota; Viridiplantae; Streptophyta; Magnoliopsida; Poales; Poaceae. The record is from RNAcentral.
UUUUUUUUUAAGUUUUAGUUGAGCGGACGAAAUAUCAUCCGAUUUAUGUAGAUUAUAUCGAAUGUUGUUCGUUUGCAUGAAUUCUGUCAUGUUUGCGUGAAUUAUGUCCGAAUUUAUUUGUAUUGCGGGUGGAGGUUUGGGGCGGCGUUGGAUGGCCUAUUCCCGUAUCAUUGUCCGCGGACGUGUUCGUGAAUAAAAUAAUAUGUCCGUUUUGGGGCCGGUGUUUGAGAUGUCCUAAGGGCAGAGAUCAUCCAACCAAAGUCAUCAAAUGUCCACUCCUAGCCAUUUCUUCUUGUACCCGGACUACUCAAAAGAAUCAAAGAUAAAAUAGCACAAUUCUUAAGCAACUGAAAGAUAAAUAUUUCAAAGCAAGAAUAAUUCAAUUAAAAUGUUACAAUCAAAAUGUAAAUUUUUGAAAUAAAAUAGUUCAAGUUUGAUUUCAUAUCAGUCGGGCACACAUUCUAGUGCAUAUAAAACACCCAAAAUGCUCAACCAGAACAUUUUGCAGCGGCUCAUGAGUUUCUCAAUAUCGAAUUUGAUGGUGUGUCUGCAUAAAAUCCUCAAAUGUCAUCGGAUUCUGCUCUAAAAGUUUGGAUAGGAUCACCCAUAUUUUGAAAAUGCAGACGAUGGUGAACCCCAUCACCCUCAUCCCAUAAUCUUGUAGUGCAUGUUCACACAAUCUGUCAUCACCUCCCACAAUGUCUUUAGAUCCCAUAGUUUGGCAGGUCCGCGAAUAACUGCAGAGCGGGCUUGGAGCACUUCAAAUGCCCUCUCGACAUCCUUUAUAACAUAUUCUUGACUUUGGGCAAAGUGAUAUCUUUUUUUUUACCCAUUGAUUCAGAUAUAUGGUCUUAACUAAACAAAGAUAGUACACAACCUUGCAAAUAAUGGACACCACUGCAGCACGUUGAUGUCAUUGUAGACCCAGGCAUGCCAAAGAAAGAGCGCUAAAUCUAGAUGUCAUGGGAUGCAACUGCUUCAGGAAUGAUGGUGGGCUUUUUGCAAUGGCCUUGGUAUUGCCCUUGUUCUGCAUACCGCGGUUUUUUCAUUCCCAUCGCAUGCAAUUUAGGGAUCCGAGCAUACCUAGAAAACCCUCUUUCUUCUCCAAUUGCCAUGGGUUUUGCAGUGUCUGCAGGAGUUGGUUCUUUCAAGUACUUCGUCCAAACACCUUCACCACUACAGUAUCAAAUUUGACCAUGGCUUCGAGAUAUGUGCUUUUAGACAUCCAGAGGUACUCAUCGCACAAAUUUGUGACCAUGCCAUAGGAAAGCAACCUCACUGCAGCACACAAAACUCAAUGAUUCCUACUUCAGGGUGAUAUAAUCAUCACAGGCUCGGACACCACGGUAGAUACGAUCAAACACUUGUCGCCACAUUUGAAAAUGAAGACGUAAUAGGGCUUGAAUAACACAUCGGGGGCAAAACAGCUGCCGGCCAGCAACAGAUGCCCCCGUGUGUUAUUCCGGUUCAACAGCCGAUGUCCUUUUGUUGAACCCUUGUAGUUGAGAAUAUGCUCAGACGCACGCAUUGCCCCUGCAAGAACCGCUCUCAUCAUGGUUGUUUCCAUGCUCAUAUUCCUCCUCAUCCGACAAAGACGACUCAAUGAACUCGAUGUGGAAGUACUCCCCAUCCAAAUCCAUCGUGUUUGAUUCAAAGUAAACAACGAGCUUCAGAAAAAUUGGCUAUGGCAUUUGAUCAAACAUUUGUCGGGCGUGGUGACCGCCAUGGAUGGCGUCGACAGAUAGCGGGGAUACCUGGGAUGCGGCCAGAUCUGAGGUGGGACGACAAUGUAGGGGAAGGCGGGCAAAGCGCCUGGGUGAAGCGGUGGAGGUCCGGGAAGGCGUGGGCGGCGGUCGGGGUGAUACAACAGAGGAGUCGGUCAGCGACGGAGUAGAUAUAAAGCACAGUAAAGAGAGAUGGAAUGGGAAAAAGGUGCUUCGGAUCGAAAAAGCAUUGCGGGGCCGGGCUCCAUAGAGCUCUUUAAUUUUUUUAGCAAAAAUACUAUUUUCACAUAUUGAAAAAAUCUGAAAAAUAAGUAUACAUAGAUGUAUUUUUGUAGUAUACACGUAUAAAAUGUCAUGAAUAUUUAUCUUUUUAGAAAGGAGGGAGUAUAUUAACUUUGUAUUAAUGACUCAACUUUGUAUUAACUUUAGUACAAAGUUGGAUCAUCUAUUUUAGAACGGAGGGAGUAUAUGUUUGCACGUAAUGUAUACAAAAAAGAUAAAUGCACAAAAUAGAAUGGGCUUUAUCUUUGUUGUUUUUGGGCUAGAUAUUUAUCUUUUUUGUGUAGCAUGCAAAUAAUCGAAUCACCUGAUGAAACUUUUUACAUACUUGACGAACAUGCAUAUGUAUUUUUUGAUAUUUUUUGAAGCUUUUAAUUUUAUUUUACUUUUUGGCAAAACAGGCACAAUGAAGCCGGGCAUCUGCAACACCGUGCCCUCUUUGGAUGAGGUAUUUUAAGUGGACCAAGCGUGUCAGAGUUCGACAUGAAGGAGAUCCGAACAUCUGCAACCCUCCCCUGUGUUUACUUCUGUUUUGUGGGAUUUCAGACAUGCGAAUCUAUCCAGACAAAAUUGUGGACCGGUGUUGGACGGCAAAAGAUGUGGGAUUUCAAACAUGCGGACCUAUCCUGACAAAAUUGUGGACCGGUGUUGGACGGCAAAAAAUCAAAAUUAUGUACCGGUGUUCGAUGCCAAAAAGAUGUCCGAACAGUCCACUCCAAACACUGGCCAGAACAGCCACGCCAUAGAAACGGGACGUCCUCACAAACCUUAAACAGCAACAGCUGCCGUGAAGCAUUGCUUUUAGCUACAGAUCAUGAUGUAGAAUCUUUUCAAUGUUCGUUCCAUGCUAGUACCUGCCUAGAUAGUCAUCAGGAUCAUGAAAGGUUUACAUGACUGCGUAAUAGUGGCUCUAGAGAACAGAAACGUAACAAGACGGUGACACAUUAAGAUUCAAGAAACAGUUUCAUCAGCACAUAAAAAUCCAUGCACGGCAUCCGAAUAAUCAAACAGUACAAAUGUUAAAGAAAAAGAAAACAUAUCUUGUCUUAAGACCAACUACAUACGCUAGAGUCAUCCAGUCAAGAGAAAUCCCGCUUCCGCAAUUGUAUCAGCAGCAAAAGAACACAAAUGCCAAGGAAGAACAAUACUCGGCCGCCUGGCCAUUCAAUAGUCAUACCAAAACAUUCAAGGAAACAAGCGGAGGCCCCCACCCCCCAACACUUCCAGCAUUGUGGAACCAAGUGCUCACGCGUUAUCAGCAUAAGGGGACUCCUCGCGCUGGGGUGGCUGUGCUGGGGACCUGCUAUAGCUCCGUUCACGGGCAGGCGGUGGUGACUUGCUGAUGCUUCUGGCACGAGGAGGCGGUGGUGACCUGCUGAUGCUUCUGUUGCGAGGAGGCGGAGGUGACCUGCUGAUGCUUCGCGCACGGGC